UUGAUGGUGCUUGCACCUGAUGACGAUGGAAUACAAGCGAGCGGCGGACGGGUGAGUAACACGUGGGGUAACCUGACCCAAGAGACGUGGGAUAACACCUGGAAACAGAUGCUAAUACUGGAUAACAACACUAGACGCAUGUCUAGAGUUUGAAAGAUGGUUCUGCUAUCACUCUUGGAUGGACCUGCGGUGCAUUAGCUAGUUGGUAAGGUAACGGCUUACCAAGGCAAUGAUGCAUAGCCGAGUUGAGAGACUGAUCGGCCACAUUGGGACUGAGACACGGCCCAAACUCCUACGGGAGGCAGCAGUAGGGAAUCUUCCACAAUGGACGAAAGUCUGAUGGAGCAACGCCGCGUGAGUGAAGAAGGGUUUCGGCUCGUAAAGCUCUGUUGGUAGUGAAGAAAGAUAGAGGUAGUAACUGGCCUUUAUUUGACGGUAAUUACUUAGAAAGUCACGGCUAACUACGUGCC
This 470-nucleotide ribosomal RNA is filed under the name uncultured bacterium. RNAcentral's name for it is "bacterial SSU rRNA". It matches the Rfam family "Bacterial small subunit ribosomal RNA", at positions 70 to 509 of the family's 1533-position model. The record is from RNAcentral.